GGAGAUCAGAAACCAGACCAGCCUCAGCUCUUCUAAAACUCCAGGUAGACAGUGUCCGACAUGAGCUGCUACCAGGAAAGGUUUUCCUCGGAGGAUGACUACUGCACCUACGCGUCGAAAAUGGAGAAGAAGACAGACAUGACUAAAGGGCCUCACUUCCCUCAGCUUCACACUGUGAUCAAGCACAAGGAGGUCCAUAUGGAAGAGGACGAGUCACGCCCUGGAAUCUUUGGCCGGCCGAGGCACGAGGAGUGGUCUGAAGAGGAGACCUAUGAAAUGUCUGAGACCACCUACGCAGGCGACAUGGGCAUGAAAGGGGGAGAGCGCAUCAGGCGCAAGGUGUAUAUAUGAGACUAUCAUCUAUAUAUAGUUCUGUGGUGAUGGAUGCCAUGGCUUGGCAUCUUUAUAUAUAGAAUAAAUCUCGGGCUUAUCUGCUGUAUAUCCAUAUGAAUAAUACUAUACUUCUCUAGUACUCAAGCUAUAGCUCUAUACUUUAGCCUACUACAUUCACUCUUGAUAUCUUUAGUACGCGCGUGUUUUCAGGUAAAUUUUUUGAGAAUACUACCCAACUCUUUCCCCCUUCAUUUUGAUAAUAUAAUCGGGAAAGAAGUAGGCUAGUCUCCGCUUUGAAUCCUAAAUAUAUUGGUGCAAGAUCGACCGAUGGCAUUCUAAAAUGUUGAUCCAAGCCACUGAUAAUGAUAUAUAUAACAUGUAAGACAUCCGCAAGAAUCAAGUAUUUUGUAAGUUAUCUAUCUAUUAUGCAUCAAGGGGAUGCAAAUGGACGGCAUGAGUAGUGCUAAUGUGUUAAAAUGCAUGAUAGGGUGUGAGAAAAAUUUUGAAUCCAGUCCAUCGAUUAUGAUCGCUCCAUAGAAAGCAUAUGUCAAAUAAAGUUCAAUAUGUUUGAGCACUUCUAAGUCAUAUGUAAACAUGAACUAGAUCGAACAACAUGUAUGAUGAAACCUUUUUGUUUUUGAAGAUUGUUUAUAAAAGGUUUUUGAGCUUUUGGAAGCAAAGUUUAUAGCUUUCAUAAAAAGAGUGAAAAUAAAAUCAAGGAAUAGUAAAAGUUUUGUGCAGAUGCUACCUCGGACAUCAAUCUGCAUGUAGGAAUAGCCAAAUAGGACCUGCAACUCUGUUUCCUAGGGGAAAAAAAAAAAAGCUGAGAUUUUAGGGACGGUUGCAAAAUGUUGCAGUUCCCGUUUUCUUCAGAUUUUCUAAAGCUGGAACUUUCUCGGUUUUGUUACUUCAAGUUCCUUUCUGAGAACUCAGAAAUUCUAACAUAUUUCUGUAGCAAUUUCCGAAGCUGUUUUAAUGAAGCUGUAACUACUACCUAUCAUUAUGGUUUUUAACUUACAGGCUUGAAGCAUAACGCGCUCCCAGUUGCACCCCUAUUUUAAGUGUCUUUGGAGCAUUUUUCAAGACAAAACGAGAACAUAGGAUAAUUUUUGGCCCAGAUCUUGCCACAUAUCGCCGCAAGUGUUGGCUGAUUCUCCUUCUUGAUUAAAGCAGACAAUGCCAGUGAUCAAACACAACAUAAGUUCACGUAUAUAAGCAAUUCACUAAGAUCUACACCAAAGAGGUGCAGUGGCAAAGAAGCAACCAACUCAGAGAACCUUUGGAAGAAGGCUUAGCCCAAAGAAGGCACAAACUUUGCCCUCCCCUGAGGCCAUCCUUUCAGAUCCCUCGGUUCCCACCACCUUCUCUCUCCCUCUCUCCUGCGGACGUGCCGGUGCUGCAGCGCAGAGAGAGACCCUGCAUCAAUGCCAUGCGGAUUCGUGCAAAGCAAACUAACGUUCCCCAUGCCAAAAGCGGAUUACUCUACUGCCUCUAUAUAUAGAUCUCUUGCUUUCUUCUCAGCUCGCCACUCUUUCUUCCACCGAUUCUUCCAGAAUUAAUAUUAGAGCCAUGGCUGUCUUCCGUCGAGCCUAUUUGUUUCGAGAUAUCUUCCGUUGAUGAGUGACUUGCUCGUCUUUCAUGGUCACUUGACGACGUUGGUGCCCUGAAGUCGCGCCAAUGGCAACCUCGCGUUGACGUGGGGGGAAUUAAGCUCGUUUCUAUGGGUGCUCUUCUUGCUUUAUUUUCCGCUUUCUGCUCUCUAACGUAUGGGAAUUGAUUUGUGUGAGGUUGGAAGGGGAUCCAAGUGUAUGGUGAUAUAAUAGCAGCCUUAAAUAUCAGCUUUUUGCUAUUCUAAUAUUGGGUUCGGGUUGUAUCUUCCGUGGGAAAGAAUGAUUCAUCUUUUUUUUCCACGAGGUCAACCAUUGGAUUGUGCAACGGCCACUUUAAGAUCUGUGCAGGUGGAUGAAAAAAAAAAGAGUUUGGUGUGCUUUGGAUCAUUCUUUCACGUGAAAGAUACAACCUAGAUCCUUUGAUAUAUGCACAUUUCCGAAGUGGUCAAAGUGUUUACCAUAAAGAAGAUUGGAGUCUUGAGUGCUCAAAAGAUGUUCGUAGCUAUAAGUGAGGUUGCAUAUUGCACCUAUAAGACUUAUUGAAUGUAUAGUGAUUGUAUGGAGUUCCUCCUCCACCAAGAUGGUCAUGACCUCGCAUUAAGAAUUGGCUGUGUUGUUAUAUUGAAUAAUCAAUAUUAACAAUCCACUUUAAAAAUCAUUGUCAAGGAUAGAGAUGCGAACUUGGUUGAAAUAGCUUAUAAGUGGUCCCUUAACUUGAAAUAAUAGAAUACCUUACUACAAUUUUGUGACAAAAUCCAUGUAUUAAUAAUGAUACCCUUGAUAAGAGGCAUAGUGGUUUAUUGGAUUCAGAUACAAAUAAGGGUCUAGUUGUCCAACAUGAAAUCAACCAUAUGUUACAAUGUUAAUAUUAAAACAUAGAGAUGGUCAGACAUAUGAGACCCACAACCCAGCUAAUUACUUAAAGUUUUAAAAAUAAUUAUUUUGGAAAAAAAUAUUAUUAAGAACAAUGGUAAAUUAUUUUCAAAAGGUUUCAUGUGCAUUGAAAUCCAAUCCAAUCCACCACCAUAAGCUCUCUCACGCGCGCAUAUAUAUAUAUAUAUAUAUAUAUAUAUUCGUUAUAUAUAUAUAUAUAUAUAUAUAUAUAUUCGAAUUUGCCCCUCUUGGUUUCAAGUUAGCAUGUUUUAUAGAAUGGCAAUUUUAGAUGAAGUUUGGUCUAGGACCUCUAGGUAUAGAUGUGUAGGAAUAGAUUUGCACAAUUUGAUGAGUCGGUGAAUAUUUUGGUGUAAUUUGACAUAUUCAAUAUUCUAUUUUGCAUGGUUGCAAUUUUCUGUUUUCAAUUUUCCUUAAAAACUAAAGAAAUUGCCACGGGAAUGGUGUUUGAUAAUCUAUUUUCUUUUUUAGUUUUUUUGAAAACUUUUUCUUAGUUUCUAAAAAUUUAUGCAAGUUUAAAAUUUUGUUUCCAAAAUUUCUAAAAAUCAAACCACUCAUGAUCCUCCACCAUCAUCUUUGUUGCUAUUGCCUCUGUCACCACCUAUCAACCACUAUCCUCUCGCCAACCACAAUCAUCUCCACUAUCACUGCAAUCAGCAUUGCUAACAUUGCUGCCAAAUGCAUUCCAUGCAACCAUUAGAUGUUAGGUUUUUGAUUGAAGGAGGCUUGUUUGAGGAAUCUCUUUUAGAGAUGUAACGUGAAAGAUAAAUGGAGAAUCGACCUUGCGACCUAGAGAGGGGAAUUUCAAAAAAUUCGAUGAAAAGAGAGAAAAAGAAGGGAAUAUAUAUUUGUGGUGUGGUUAACUAAGCUGAUUGAUAUUGAUGGUAUUCGAAUUUGAUAAGACAAGGAUUAGAAUUCUUUCAUAUGAAGUAUGCGAAUGAAGAACUGGUGGUCUAGAUCAUUGAGGAAUGAGAAUAAGAAAGCGAGCAAUGAAGAUAGGAGGUGGGUCCUAAAAUUUAAAGGGGCAAGGAGGCUGCACUGGAACUAUUUGGAAAUCCCAAGAACAUUUAAUUUCUCAGGAUGGCCAUGGCCCUUGCCCCCUCCCCUGCCGGUUCCAGCAUUCACAAACUGAUGCAUUCUUUUAGUCUUCUAAAUCUACUUCAUAUAGUUUCUAGGAGCUUGGGUUGUCUCUAUGGUUCAUAAACCUUACAAGAAUGUUUACCUUCUGAUGUCAGCAUAUGAUAUAUAACGAUGACAAGUGCCUCUACCUGUGGGUCGAUGAAGAAUGGUAUGAUCAAUUCAGGUUUCCAAGCACAGAAGAACGGUACAAAGAUAGCAGCAGCAAGACAUUCAAACAUUGUUGAUCUCAGAAAACCAUGUUGCCCAUGCUGUAACGCAGCACUGGUUUGUAAGCUAGGAAAUGAUCAAGGAAUAGGAUGGACUCCAAUGGACACAGGCCUAUGUGAACUUGGAGAGGAGCACUGUACUAGUAAAGUGAAUGCAACUCAGCUAUGGUGCUCAUAUUCUGCCCCUAUGUAAAUUUCAAACUUCUCUCUUUUUCUUCUUGGGAAAUAUCGAACCUAUUCAACCAUCUGAUGGUGAUUACAAACAUUUUAAACUAACUUUUUCCAGAGCAAUUCCAAACGGUGGAGAAAUUGUUUGCAUAUGAUGAGGUAUGGGAUCACAAAGUAAUAUAAUUAUUGUCGAGUAUAUCUUUGAGUUUACGGGCUCUAGAAAGGCAAAAAAAAUCUUUUCCCCCAUGAGAGAAGCAAGUGGUGCAGAGUGCAAAGAGCGAAGCAAGCAUUAGCAUCCUUGUUUUAUUUGGGCCGCACAGGAUGAGAUAAAUUUAUUUAUAUAUUGUUCUAGAAACCGACAUUAGCAUCAGUGGGUGCUUCCAAUACCACCCAAAGCUACUGCAUCAAGGUUCAAAUUCAUGCAAUAACACUAGCCGCCUGACGCAGACAGAAGUUAGAGGAUUAGAUGCGCUUCUUAUCUUUUUUCUUUUUUUUUGGUACAGAUGCACUUCUUAUCUUCAAGGAAUAAAUAUCAUAAGGCUUGGUCUAUAAAAAGGAGGAGCCAAGGAGCUCAGAAACCAGACCAGCCUCAGCUCUUCUAAAACUCCAGGUAGACAGUGUCCAACAUGAGCUGCACCUACGAGUCGAAAAUGGAGAAGACAAGCAUGACUGAAGGGCCUCACUCCCCUCAGCUUCACACUGUGAUCAAGCACAAGGAGGUCCAUGAGGAAGAGGAGAAGCCACGCCACGGAAUCUUCGGCCGGCCAAGGAACAAGGAGUGGUCUGAAGAGGAGACCUAUGAAAUCUCUGAGACAACCUACGCAGGCGACAUGGGCAUGCAAGGAGGAGAGUGCAUCAGGCGCAAGGAGUAUAUAUGAGACCAUACAUCAAGGCAGCUUGAGAGCAUCAUCUAUCUAUAGUUCUGUGAUGAUGGAUGCCAUGGCUUGGCAUCUUUAUAUAUAGAAUAAAUCUCUGGCUUAUCUACUGUAUAUCCAUAUGAAUAAUACUAUACUUCUCUAGUACUCAAGGUAUAGCUCUAUACUUUAGCCUACUACAUUCACUCUUGAUAUCUUUAGUACGCGCGUGUUUUCAGGUAGAUUUUUUGAGAAUACUACACCAACUCUUUCCCCCUUCAUUUUGAUAAUAUAAUCGGGAAAGAAGUAGGCUAGUCUCCGCUUUGAAUCCUAAAUAUAUUGGUGCAAGAUCGACCGAUGGCAUUCUAAAAUGUUGAUCCAAGCCACUGAUAAUGAUAUAUAUAACAUGCAAGACAUCCGCAAGAAUCAAGUAUUUUGUAAGUUUUCUAUCUAUUAUGCAUCAAGAGGAUGCAACUGGACGGCAUGAGUAGUGCUAAUGUGUUAAAAUGCAUGAUAGGGUGUGAGAAAAAUUUUGAAUCCAGUCCGUCGAUUAUGAUCGCUCCAUAGAAAGCAUAUGUGAAAUAAAGUUCAAUAUGUUUGCUUCUAAGUCACAUGAAAACAUGAACUCGAUCCAACAACAUGUGUGAUGAAACCUUUUUGUUUUUGAAGAUUGUUUGUAAAAGUUUUUGAGCUUUUGGAAGCAAAGUUUAUAGCUUUCAUAGAAGGAGUGAAAAUAAAGCAAGGAAUAGAAAAAGUUUUGUACAGAUGCCACCUUGGACAUCAAUCUGCAUGUGGUAUUUCAC
Molecule: long non-coding RNA, 6005 nt
Filed under: Phoenix dactylifera (date palm)
Lineage: Eukaryota; Viridiplantae; Streptophyta; Magnoliopsida; Arecales; Arecaceae
Description: long non-coding RNA (PDAC_LNC000241)
Source: RNAcentral